AAGAUGCCGAUGAUUCAAUCCCUCAUCAUGCAUCUUUAAGAAACAGUGUGAUUUGUACACAGUAUUUCGUGUACUCAAGAUGUGAACGUCUAUUUAAUUUACACAGUAUAUUGUUUUGCACCAGAUUCGGACGGUCAUUUUAUUACCGCAUAAUUAAUACGGCUUUCCUUAUCUGCGGAGCUUUCUGCAUCCUGGGCUUUCCUUAUCAGCGGAACUUUCCUUAUCAUACGGCUUACGGCUUUUCAUAGUCAAUAAUGGCGUAUGUGUGGAACCAUACAUACGGAAAGUUUCAGUAGGGUGCAUUUUGAUAGACGCAAAAGCUAGCUGCCCAUGUACUGUUAUGACAGCGAACGUUAGAAAUACCAGGUGGUCAAAAGUGCGGGAAUCCUCCACUUCAUCAUCUCUCAUAUAUCGCAACUUUCAGGCGUAAUAUCGUUAUUGAGAUAUUAUUAUCAUCGAACGUCAUGUUGGUGCAAUACAAGAAUUUCAUGCUGGUUAGAUGACUUAACUGGGCUAGUCGUGAAAUUUUGACACUUGGUGCAAUGUCAGCGCUUGGCAGUAUUGGAGUAAAAAAGACGGGCGAUGCAGACUAAAGCAUGAAACAACACCGGCUUUCUUCCAUCUUACUUGUUUGCGCAAACUCUUUUGAUACACGCACAAUUGUCAAUCAGCAUAUUGUUGCCCCAUAGCUUAACAUAGUGUGAGAGAAAGACAAAUGGUAUGACACAAAAAUAUUUAAAAAUGAUGCACAAAAACACACACGGUUUUGUGGGGUGACGCUAGCUGCAGUUUGUAACAGCAACCCUUUGUAUGCUAGGUUACGGCCAAUAUGGGUCUUUCAUAGGUCAGCGAAAUAUUGGUAAUCACUCAAAAUCGCUGAACAAAUAUAAUCUCCUCUGAGCGCUCCCUUGUACGCAUGAAAAUCGCCUCAGUCAGACUCACUUGAACUUCAAUUCACCAACAUAUUGCUCGUCAGGGCUCACAAAGACUCACUCUCGCCACUUGACCUGAGCCUGAGUGAGCCGAUUCAUAAGCUCGUGGGCACAGAAUUAUAUUUCUUGAUCAUAGUGUUAAUCAUCUUUAAAAUAUGUGCUGUUUACUACAUCCCUGUUGAUCUUAUGCCGUAAAGUACGCAUCAUUAGUUGUUGCGAUCUUGUAAUGUUAAAACGCCCCAAACACGAGUUAUUUUGAAAAGGCUCAAUUGAUUGAGUUUUCUGGGCCAGUCACAUAUGUCGCCCCCACCUUCGAAGUCACGCCUCUUAUAAAUCAAUUACGAGGGAUCAUGUGAACACGAGUGUGUUGAGGUAAGCGGUAAUGGAUAUGACUAAUAACGUAAGCCGAUUUAAGGCUGUUAAGGAAGCUGCUGAUGAGACGUAGGCGAGUCUCGUGCUAAUAAUUUUUGGUACUUGUAGAAAAAGCUAUUGAGUACAUUUUUUUGCGAAGGAAGGAAUAUCUUUUGGAGAAAAACCACAGUGAGGAGGCCACAGUGAGCAUACCACAGUGAGGAGGCCAUGUUUUUUUUUCUGAACGCAGCUCCUUCAUUAUCGAUGACAUGUGCCGAAAGAUCAAGUCGUCCUUGGCAGAAUUAACAUUUGGUCAGAUCUGGGACUAGGACCUGACGAAGUACGCACCCGCCUUAAGGAGGCAUUCGAAAAGAUUAUGAAAGUGGUUCACAAAACGAUGUUGGAGGACAUCACAGACUCCCAAGGUUCUGCAUGUUAACAGCACCAAGAAUCUGGACAGUUAAAAUGACAUUACAAAAAAAUUUCUACCUCCUGAAUAAACUUGUUUCCAAAAUUACUACUUCCAAAAAUCACGAAAUAAACUUGUUUUUUCUCACUCUAA
Rhipicephalus microplus (southern cattle tick) is the source of this 1845-nucleotide long non-coding RNA. NCBI's taxonomy places the organism in Eukaryota, Metazoa, Arthropoda, Arachnida, Ixodida, Ixodidae. The record is from RefSeq and is a predicted model, not a curated record.